This is a long non-coding RNA of Chinchilla lanigera (long-tailed chinchilla), 1359 nucleotides long. RefSeq lists it as uncharacterized. NCBI's taxonomy places the organism in Eukaryota, Metazoa, Chordata, Mammalia, Rodentia, Chinchillidae. The transcript has 4 exons. The record is from RefSeq and is a predicted model, not a curated record.
UCUCAAUGCAGGAACUAGGCCAUCAGAAGAACUGGUUUUGAGGACAAACUAAUGUCUGAUGCCGCAACCAAGUGUUGCAGAAAAGAAAAAGUGGCUCUGUGUGUCCACCAAAAACUGAGAGCUGAGAGUUCUAAUUCUGGGCUGGCCAGUUUAGCAAAGUGUCUCUAUGGUGGACCCUAACUCCUGGGGAAUUUAGCUCCUCUUGUACCUCAAAGAAUUGGUAUAGGGAGGGAAAAUAGUCAGUGUCCAGCCUCUGAGUGAAGGUGAAAUAGCCCAGAGGAGUCCCCUGGCUUGAGUCAGAGCAAUGGAAUUCUUACCCACAUCAUAGGAAAGACUAAGGAGCAAGGAAAUACCAAACAGCAUGGGAAGAUCAAAAUUUUAAUAUUGGAGUAAACAUGGCCUCAUUUUAAUGUUGCAUAGCCAGUCUUGAAGACAUCUGGCUUGUAUAUAUUUUUGUAUUUAUGAUUUUGGCUGUUCGAGGAGGGGGUGUCUAUGGAGCACUGAAGAGUCAUCCUAGAAAUGAAGAUACCAGGUGCCUAACACAGACCUCAUCCUGUUCCCAUCUGCUCUGAGUGUAGAUUGGAUCAUCACUCUGUCCAUCAAAAAGCAUUUGCUAAGCACACUUAAAUAUGUGUGCGAGCUUCUGCAGGGACAGAAACUUUUCACACUAAAAACAAAAUGAGAUCAACUGAAGAGGAAUAGCUGACUACAACAUAUAUCCUGGAUCGCUGUACAUAAUCAUCACAUUUCUCACAAGGCAAGAGGAGUGUGCAGUUUCUAAUGUGCUCUCCAGGUGUGCAGCUGCAGUGAAGAGAGAUGCACAGAUACCUAAGAUUUCAGGGCUCCGAGAGACGCCAGGGAUCACCAACUAGGUGUGUCGCACACAUCUGGCAAGUUUGGAGACUGGUUCUUCCCCAUGAAGAUGAUGGUGCCCUUGCUCAUAGGUGGACCUGGUGAAGCCAGGUGUGCUCCUGAGGACUGUAACACGUGGCCAUGCUGGUGUGGCUGGUGUGGCAUUGAGUGAUCUCGUGGGAGCCAGUGGCACUGUGAUUUGCCCACCAAUCACACCUGCUGGAUUGUGGCAGAUGGAGAACCACAACUUCAGGCUUGAAACCUUCACGUUUGGGCAUUUUCCUUUAUACUUUUCCAUGCUUUUCAACCACUAAAGUCAAUUUGAGGAUAUAAAUAUCUUCAAAAGCAAAAGGAACCCUAGAGCUACUCUCAGAUGACUCCUUUUUCAAGGGUCUGUUUCCUGCCUUUUAUUUUGCUGUCACUGCAACCCAGGAUGUCAGCUAUGAGUUACGGAGUAUCACUGUAAAGCUCCAGACUUAAUGUAAAAAUCUUAAUAAACAAUUCCGG